RNAcentral lists this ribosomal RNA (280 nucleotides) under uncultured bacterium. RNAcentral's name for it is "partial 16S ribosomal RNA". It matches the Rfam family "Bacterial small subunit ribosomal RNA", at positions 38 to 334 of the family's 1533-position model. The record is from RNAcentral.
AACGACGCUCGGCGCAGUGCCUAACACAUGCAAGUCGAACGAGACCUUCGGGUCUAGGUGGCGCAACGGGUGCGUAACGCGUGGGAAUCUGCCCUUGGGUUCGGAAUAACUCGCCGAAAGGCGUGCUAAUACCGGAUGAUGUCGUAAGACCAAAGAUUUAUCGCCCAGGGAUGAGCCCGCGUAAGAUUAGGUAGUAGGUGGGGUAACGGCUCACCUAGGCGACGAUCCCUAGCUGGUCUGAGAGGAUGACCAGCCACACUGGAACUGAGACACGGUCCAG